AGGAUUCCCCUAGUAACGGCGAGUGAACCGGGAAGAGCUCAAAUUUGAAAUCUGGCAGUCUUCGAUUGUCCGAGUUGUAAUCUAUAGAAGCGUUUUCCGUGCUGAACUGUGUAUAAGUCCCUUGGAACAGGGUAUCAAAGAGGGUGACAAUCCCGUACUUUACACAAUCAUCAGUGCUCUGUGAUACGUUCUCUACGAGUCGAGUUGUUUGGGAAUGCAGCUCAAAAUGGGUGGUAAAUUCCAUCUAAAGCUAAAUAUUGGCGAGAGACCGAUAGCGAACAAGUACCGUGAGGGAAAGAUGAAAAGCACUUUGGAAAGAGAGUUAAACAGUACGUGAAAUUGUUGAAAGGGAAACGAAAUUCAUGAAUCAUGUUUAUUGGACUCAGCCGUUCUUCGGUGUACUUCCUUUAAACGGGUCAACAUCAGUUUUGUCCGAUGGAUAAAGGUAGUAGGAAGGUGGCUCUCUCGGGAGUGUUAUAGCCUAUUGCUGCAUACAUUGGAUGAGACUGAGGACUGCAGCUUGCCUUUAUGGCCGGGGUUCGCCCACGUCAAGCUAGGAGUGAC
This 564-nucleotide ribosomal RNA is filed under the name Trichosporon sp. enrichment culture clone MM 4029. RNAcentral describes it as "eukaryotic LSU rRNA". It matches the Rfam family "Eukaryotic large subunit ribosomal RNA", at positions 71 to 606 of the family's 3401-position model. Lineage: Eukaryota; Fungi; Basidiomycota; Tremellomycetes; Tremellales. The record is from RNAcentral.